CAUAAAGGCUUGGUCCUGACUUUACUGUCAGCUCUGGCUAAACUUACACAUGCAAGUAUCCGCACCCCUGUGAGAAUGCCCUCCAGUCUCCCGCCCGGAAACAAGGAGCCGGUAUCAGGCACGGUAAACACCUGCCCAUGACACCUUGCUUAGCCACACCCUCAAGGGACAUCAGCAGUGAUAGAUAUUAAGCCAUAAGUGAAAACUUGACUUAGUUAAGGCCUAGAGGGCCGGUAAAACUCGUGCCAGCCACCGCGGUUAUACGAGAGGCUCAAGUUGACAGACAACGGCGUAAAGAGUGGUUAGGGAAAUUUUAAACUAAAGCCAAACGUCCUCAAAGCUGUUUAACGCUCCCGAGUUAAGAAGAUCCAUUACGAAAGUAGCUUUACCCAUCCUGACCCCACGAAAGCUGUGACACAAACUGGGAUUAGAUACCCCACUAUGCUCAGCCAUAAAAUUUGAUAGGCCCCUACGCCCCCUAUCCGCCCGGGUACUACGAGCAUCAGCUUAAAACCCAAAGGACUUGGCGGUGCUUCACAUCCGUCUAGAGGAGCCUGUUCUAGAACCGAUAACCCCCGUUGAACCUCACCCUCCCUUGUUAAUACCGCCUAUAUACCGCCGUCGUCAGCCUACCCUGUGAAGGACUAGAAGUGAGCAAGAUUGGUAAGACCCAAAACGUCAGGUCGAGGUGUAGUGUAUGAGAGGGGAAGAAAUGGGCUACAUUUCCUAAAUCAGGAAACACGAACAAUGAACUGAAACAAGCAUUUGAAGGUGGAUUUAGCAGUAAGCAAGAAAACAGAGUGUUCUGCUGAAACAUGGCAAUAAAGCACGCACAUAUCGCCCGUCACUCUCCCCGAGCUAAUACGAAUAUAAUACCUAAAAAAUUACAUCUGCAAAGGGGAGGCAAGUCGUAACAUGGUAAGCGUACCGGAAGGUGCGCUUG
Molecule: non-coding RNA, 943 nt
Filed under: Amphiprion ocellaris (clown anemonefish)
Lineage: Eukaryota; Metazoa; Chordata; Actinopteri; Pomacentridae
Description: partial 12S ribosomal RNA
Rfam family: Bacterial small subunit ribosomal RNA
Source: RNAcentral